Molecule: ribosomal RNA, 409 nt
Filed under: uncultured bacterium
Lineage: Bacteria
Description: bacterial SSU rRNA
Rfam family: Bacterial small subunit ribosomal RNA
Source: RNAcentral
AACGAACGCUGGCGGCGUGCCUAACACAUGCAAGUCGUGCGAGAAAGUUCCUUCGGGAGCGAGUAAAGCGGCGCACGGGUGAGUAACACGUAGGUAACCUGCCCCCAGUCUGGAACAACGUAGAGGAAACUCUAAGCUAAUGCCGGAUGGGACCACGAUCCCUUCGGGGGUUGCGGGCCAAAGAUGGCCUCUACUUGUAAGCUAUCGCUGAGGGAUGGGCCUGCGGGCCAUUAGCUUGGUUGGUGAGGUAACGGCUCACCAAGGCUGUGAUGGCUAGCUGGUCUGAGAGGAUGACCAGCCACGCUGGGACUGAGACACGGCCCAGACUCCUACGGGAGUCAGCAGGUGGGGAACUAUUGCGCAAUGGGCGAAAGCCUGACGCAGCGACGCCGCGUGGGUGAUGAAGGCC